UAAGCAUCCUCAUCUCCGCAACCUUCAUUCUCUGAACAUGCGAGUUCUUCACGGGCCAGCACUCCGCCCCAUACAACAUCGCAGGUCUAACCACGGCCCUGUAGAAUUUUCCCUUGAGUUUGUGUGGAAUUUUCUUGUCACACAGGACCCCUGAAGCGAGCCUCCACUUUGACCACCCCGCUCAUAUCUGAUGGGUGACGUCCCCGUCAAUCUCUCCGUCCCCCUGAAUCACAGACCCAAGAUAUCUUACACUGUCCCUCUAGGCGAUGGCCUGAGAACCAAGCAUCACUUCCCUGCCUACCCCACUCGGCUC
RNAcentral lists this long non-coding RNA (313 nucleotides) under Nicotiana benthamiana. RNAcentral describes it as "long non-coding RNA (NBEN_LNC036605)". Lineage: Eukaryota; Viridiplantae; Streptophyta; Magnoliopsida; Solanales; Solanaceae. The record is from RNAcentral.